AACACAAAGCCAUGUUUAGAGGUUUGGGACUUUCAGCCCCACCCUCUAACCUCCAGGGAGGGGAGAUGGGCUGAAGGUUGAGUUGAUCACUAAGGGUAACUAGAUAAUCAGAAAUCCUAAGACAAGAGGAUGCAUGUUUAGUAAUUGAAGACAUCACUUGAAAGAAUGUAUUCCCUGGUGAGCAUCAUCUGACUCAGCAUCUACAGUUAGAAUAUGAAGGACAAAGAUGAACACACAGCAAAACCAGACACAGCACUUGAUAAAAAAUGGUUAAACCUUUGCAAUUUCAUAUAGAUCAACUAACUUCUAGGUGGCACGGUUUUCUGGUAACAGGGAAGAAUUGGAUAAUGAGCAAAAUGAGAGCUGGCUGACAACUAUUUGGAGUUGUAGUACCUUGUAAUAUCAUGGCUACACAGCUUUCUUCAAAGGUAAU
Molecule: long non-coding RNA, 433 nt
Filed under: Pan troglodytes (chimpanzee)
Lineage: Eukaryota; Metazoa; Chordata; Mammalia; Primates; Hominidae
Description: long non-coding RNA NONPTRT011045
Source: RNAcentral